This 303-nucleotide ribosomal RNA is filed under the name uncultured bacterium. RNAcentral describes it as "partial 16S ribosomal RNA". It matches the Rfam family "Bacterial small subunit ribosomal RNA", at positions 507 to 809 of the family's 1533-position model. The record is from RNAcentral.
AGCAGUAGCCGCGGGAAUACGGAGGAUCCAAGCGUUAUCCGGAAUCAUUGGGUUUAAAGGGUCCGUAGGCGGUCUUGUAAGUCAGUGGUGAAAGCCCAUCGCUCAACGGUGGAACGGCCAUUGAUACUGCAGGACUUGAAUUAUUGGGAAGUAACUAGAAUAUGUAGUGUAGCGGUGAAAUGCUUAGAGAUUACAUGGAAUACCAAUUGCGAAGGCAGGUUACUACCAAUUGAUUGACGCUGAUGGACGAAAGCGUGGGUAGCGAACAGGAUUAGAUACCCCCGUAGUCCCUGUCUCUUAUAA